RNAcentral lists this microRNA precursor (74 nucleotides) under Myotis brandtii (Brandt's bat). RNAcentral's name for it is "mir-9193 microRNA precursor family". It matches the Rfam family "mir-9193 microRNA precursor family". The record is from Rfam by way of RNAcentral. Lineage: Eukaryota; Metazoa; Chordata; Mammalia; Chiroptera; Vespertilionidae.
CUCAGAGGGGUAGGGGCCCUCAGCCCAGAUUGUGAGAGGGCACAGGCCAGGCUGAGGGACCCCACCUGUGCACA